Pelmatolapia mariae (spotted tilapia) is the source of this 275-nucleotide long non-coding RNA. RefSeq lists it as uncharacterized. Lineage: Eukaryota; Metazoa; Chordata; Actinopteri; Cichliformes; Cichlidae. The transcript is spliced from 3 exons. The record is from RefSeq and is a predicted model, not a curated record.
AUGGAAGACAGUGAAAUGACCUCUGACCUGAUGGACGAGGGAAAGGAGCUGAACCGCCAGGAAAGUCAUCUGCUGGGAGAAGAAACAACAGUGAAACGGGAAGUACAAAGAAGCUGCUCAUCACUGGAUAUUCUGCUUAAGAUUGAAGAUUGAACAUCUGCCUCCCAGCAGCUCCAACCACAUCAUCAGGUUCGCUCAUCAGCAACGACGACGAGUCGGCGUACAGAGAUGAGGUUGAGCAGCUGGCGUUCUGGUGCAGCGAGACCACCAACACC